GGAGGAAGGAAGGUAGGGCGGUGGAAGGGGCUGCGAUUGUGGCAGCGGCAGCGGCGGCGGCUGUGGCAGCUGCGUUUGGGAAAGAAAAAGAAGGAAUGAGAGUAAGAGAGAGCAGGUGACUGUGCCUCGAUGUUCGACACGUGGAGUAGUUGCGAAGAAAGGAAGAAAACGAGAACACAAAACGAAACAGAGAGAGGACACGGAGGAAAAGUAGAAGGAUUUGGGCUGGCACCUUCUUUGGAUCUUCGGAUCGAAAUCUUUGAAAGGCAAGUUUCCCGCUUGUUUCGAUCCUUUCUAUUUCAAAUGUUUCGAUCCUUUCUAUUGCAAGCCCCCUGAUCGUUUCUCCUAUAAUUGCUCUGAUAUGUCUUAUUGCAAGUAUCCUGAUCUUUCCUCACUGCCAUUUUUAUCUCUACAUUUGCUUUGAAUAUGAGGAACUUUGAAUUGUUCUAGCCUUGCAUUUGAUAUAUCUCCUGUUUAGACGUAACGAUUCGAAUCUGUGCAACUUCUGAGAUUCUGACCUUUUGAUACCGAGCUGCCUAUAAGUCUUUGUUGGAAACUCUGAUUUGUUCAAAACUGAUUUCAUUGGAAACUAGACUCGUAGACCUUUCCUUGAUAUAUGGAUUGAAAGAUUUGGAAUCCAAACACCAGUCCAGUUAUCUUUUGAAUAUGACAUUAUGAAUUCUGCCAACAGAGAUUUUGUUCUACGACACUUGCUUACCAAAUUAUUUGUAACUCUCUCUGUUGGACAGUUCAAUUCAUUUGAAGCCUGUCUUAUCUGAAAGUAUUAUCCAAUGAUUAUUUCUGAGUAAAUUGGAGCACGAUUGAUAGUUUGAAUCAUUUGUUCAAUGUGCCUUCUGUAUUCUGACAGAAAUCGAGCUUUGGUCGAUUUCUCAUAUUCUGGUUUCAUUCAUUUGAAAAUUGAUAUCCUUUAGCUUUCUUAUUCAAUUGAGCUUUAUAUUACUGCUUUGAAUUCUUGUAUGCUCUUCUCCUUAAAAUUAUUUGCAUUCUUGAAAAC
RNAcentral lists this long non-coding RNA (1015 nucleotides) under Musa acuminata (dwarf banana). Its description in RNAcentral is "long non-coding RNA (MACU_LNC010417)". Lineage: Eukaryota; Viridiplantae; Streptophyta; Magnoliopsida; Zingiberales; Musaceae. The record is from RNAcentral.